AGCAGCCGCGGUAAUUCCAGCUCCAAUAGCGUAUAUUAAAGUUGUUGCAGUUAAAAAGCUCGUAGUUGAAUUUCGGGAUUGGCGCAUCGGUCGUGCCUCACGGGGUAUGAACUGGUGCAGUCAAUUUCUCACCUUCUGGAGAACCGCGAUGUCCUUAAUUGGAUGCCGCGGGGAACCAGGACCUUUACUUUGAAAAAUUAGAGUGUUUAAAGCAGGCAUUUUUGCUUGAAUACAUUAGCAUGGAAUAAUAAAAUAGGACGGCAUGGUUCUAUUUUGUUUGGUUUCUUAGGACCACCGUAAUGAUUAAUAGGGAUAGUUGGGGGCAUUAGUAUUCAAUUGUCAGAGGUGAAAUUCUUGGAUUUAUUGAAG
This 369-nucleotide ribosomal RNA is filed under the name uncultured Glomeromycotina. RNAcentral's name for it is "SSU rRNA". It matches the Rfam family "Eukaryotic small subunit ribosomal RNA", at positions 569 to 934 of the family's 1831-position model. Lineage: Eukaryota; Fungi; Glomeromycota. The record is from RNAcentral.